GUUUUUUAGCCCGCAAAAAUAGGUAAGGGAGGAAAUGCGGGUAGAUCCUUGCUGAUGGAAGAGAUUAAGAGCGUUGAGCGUGCUACCUAUAGUGACAUCACCGUAUAAAAACUUCCAAAGUAUGACGAGCUUAUGUGGAUCUUAUAACCAAAAGAUAUGGUCUGAUCAAGAAUUCCAGUCGAUCACGAUGGCUCUCCUUUGGACUUGUGCACACAUGACGCUGUAGUGGUUGCAUCUCCAGCACAUCUUUUCAUAUCUCUCUUGGAUUGAAAUCCAGCCAUGGAAAUUCUAUCUCCAAGAGCAACAAAAACGUUUCUUGUGUUUCCGAGGCUGGAUAAGCUUAAGUCAUGCCACGAAUGUCAGCUUUCGUGCGUUUCGUCGUCACGGCUUUCUCGGACCGCAUCACAUUUUCGUUCCAGGAAAUCUAUCCAAGUCAAAAGUACAAAUGCUUUGUCCGGAUGACAAAAAAUUCCGUCCUUUCCCCAGAGGGCGCCCUUUAACUCGGGCCUUGGGCAGAGCUCCUUGACGAGAAAGGAAGUCUUGUUAUCUGGAACACGCUACACGCAAGUCAAACCGGGAAGCUCUCAUCUUUUUCCUCCAAGUCUCCUCCAUUAUCAUGGACGGACCAGACCAGCUCGACACACACAACAACACGACUGAGAUUCGACACCCAGCCUUGUCAUCUGCGUGCGUUCCUGAUUCCAAAAAAGUUGGAGUCAUUCGGACAAACAACAUAAUAGCUGGGAAACACGCCUCGCUGUGUGCUGCUGCUCAGUAGUGGUGGUGCUGGUACGCCUCAACACUCACGACUCUCCGGAAGACGAAAGGAUAUCAAGGAUGAAAAGAUCAAAAGAGAGAUUUUUCUGGCAUCAAAGCUGCGGUAGCCGGAGGAGAGAGAGAGAGAGAGAGACGCUUUGCUUUCUUCUCGACCGGACCGGAUGGCUGGAACUUGGAAAACUUGGAACUCGCAAUGUGGAAUUUUGGAGCCGUCGCCGACGACGAGGGUCGCUAUCCGGGGCUUGCUGGCUUAGCCGGCGACAGCAUCUCAGAGGGGGAGCCUUGAGAGGACAUUCUUGCGCUCCACAGGGAUCGAUCUUCUCUUUCUCCACUCGAGGAUUAAACAAGGAGUAAAAACCAAUCAGGGAGGUGAAAAGACUGUGCCUGGAGCACUGGAGCUGUGGAGAUGGAGCUGAGAGUUUUUUUGUCACCACCACCACCACCACCACCACCGCGCUGCGCUGCUCGACUCGAGAGCGCGAGGGACAUCGCAGUACACAUGAACCGAGAGAGACUAGCGACGGGUAUUUUGAUUUUCAUGCCGCUCUAGCCAUUGCUGUUAAAAGGUUUUAACACCGCGCAUUCAAUGUGGAGUCCAGGACUAGAUGGAGCGAAAAGAAAAUCGAUCAAAGCAUUUGCGCAAAAGAUUUGGUAGAUUUCCAAAGAAGAAGGAAAGAUAACCAUUUGGAUCUAAGAAAAGAGAACCAUUUCUGGAUUGCCAAAGAAAUUCUAUCUGGACUAAAUUGCAGAAAACCAUUUCUA
Long non-coding RNA from Selaginella moellendorffii, 1539 nucleotides. RefSeq lists it as uncharacterized. The record is from RefSeq and is a predicted model, not a curated record. Lineage: Eukaryota; Viridiplantae; Streptophyta; Lycopodiopsida; Selaginellales; Selaginellaceae. The transcript is spliced from 12 exons.